AGAGUUUGAUCAUGGCUCAGAAUCAACGCUGGCGGCGUGCCUCAGACAUGCAAGUCGAACGAUUAAGACUCUCUUCGGAGAGUGUAUAAAGUGGCGCACGGGUGAGUAACACGUAGGUAAUGUACCGAAGGGUGGGGAAUAACUUAGGGAAACUUAAGCUAAUACCGCAUAAUGCAGCGGCUCGACAUCGAGACAGUUGUUAAAGGAGCAAUCCGCCUUUUGAGCAGCCUGCGGCAGAUUAGCUAGUUGGUAAGGUAAUGGCUUACCAAGGCUACGAUCUGUAACCGACCUGAGAGGGUGGUCGGUCACACUGACACUGAAUAACGGGUCAGACUCCUACGGGAGGCAGCAGUCGGGAAUUUUGGGCAAUGGGCGAAAGCCUGACCCAGCAACGCCGCGUGAAGGAUGAAGUAUUUCGGUAUGUAAACUUCGUAAGAAUAGGAAGAAUAAAUGACGGUACUAUUUGUAAGGUCCGGCUAACUACGUG
This 487-nucleotide ribosomal RNA is filed under the name uncultured bacterium. Its description in RNAcentral is "bacterial SSU rRNA". It matches the Rfam family "Bacterial small subunit ribosomal RNA", at positions 8 to 507 of the family's 1533-position model. The record is from RNAcentral.